GGUGCGAGCGUUAAUCGGAAUUACUGGGCGUAAAGCGUGCGCAGGCGGUUAUGUAAGACAGAUGUGAAAUCCCCGGGCUCAACCUGGGAACUGCGUUUGUGACUGCAUAACUAGAGUACGGCAGAGGGAGGUGGAAUUCCGCGUGUAGCAGUGAAAUGCGUAGAUAUGCGGAGGAACACCGAUGGCGAAGGCAGCCUCCUGGGCCAGUACUGACGCUCAUGCACGAAAGCGUGGGGAGC
Molecule: ribosomal RNA, 239 nt
Filed under: uncultured Zoogloea sp.
Lineage: Bacteria; Pseudomonadati; Pseudomonadota; Betaproteobacteria; Rhodocyclales; Zoogloeaceae
Description: partial 16S ribosomal RNA
Rfam family: Bacterial small subunit ribosomal RNA
Source: RNAcentral